GACGAACGCUGGCGGCGUGCCUAAUACAUGCAAGUUGAGCGCUGAAGGUUGGUACUUGUACCGACUGGAUGAGCAGCGAACGGGUGAGUAACGCGUGGGGAAUCUGCCUUUGAGCGGGGGACAACAUUUGGAAACGAAUGCUAAUACCGCAUAAAAACUUUAAACACAAGUUUUAAGUUUGAAAGAUGCAAUUGCAUCACUCAAAGAUGAUCCCGCGUUGUAUUAGCUAGUUGGUGAGGUAAAGGCUCACCAAGGCGAUGAUACAUAGCCGACCUGAGAGGGUGAGCGGCCACAUUGGGACUGAGACACGGCCCAAACGCCUACGGGAGGCAGCAGUAGGGAAUCUUCGGCAAUGGACGAAAGUCUGACCGAGCAACGCCGCGUGAGUGAAGAAGGUUGUCGGAUCGUAAAACUCUGUUGGUAGAGAAGAACGUUGGUGAGAGUGGAAAGCUCAUCAAGUGACGGUAACUACCCAGAAAGGGACGGCUAACUACGUG
RNAcentral lists this ribosomal RNA (497 nucleotides) under uncultured bacterium. RNAcentral describes it as "partial 16S ribosomal RNA". It matches the Rfam family "Bacterial small subunit ribosomal RNA", at positions 28 to 507 of the family's 1533-position model. The record is from RNAcentral.